Molecule: ribosomal RNA, 253 nt
Filed under: uncultured bacterium
Lineage: Bacteria
Description: partial 16S ribosomal RNA
Rfam family: Bacterial small subunit ribosomal RNA
Source: RNAcentral
UACAGAGGUCUCAAGCGUUGUUCGGAUUCACUGGGCGUAAAGCGCACGUAGGCGGGUUCUUAAGUCAGGGGUGAAAUCCUGGAGCUCAACUCCAGAACUGCCUUUGAUACUGGGAAUCUCGAGUCCGGGAGAGGUGAGUGGAACUGCGAGUGUAGAGGUGAAAUUCGUAGAUAUUCGCAAGAACACCAGUGGCGAAGGCGGCUCACUGGCCCGGUACUGACGCUGAGGUGCGAAAGCGUGGGGAGCAAACAGG